Long non-coding RNA from Helianthus annuus (common sunflower), 978 nucleotides. RefSeq lists it as uncharacterized. The transcript has 2 exons. The record is from RefSeq and is a predicted model, not a curated record. Lineage: Eukaryota; Viridiplantae; Streptophyta; Magnoliopsida; Asterales; Asteraceae.
AUUUCUCUCAUCUCCAGUUCUCUCUCUAGAUAUCACAACUCUCUUCUCUCUACUCUUUUCCCGGCAACUAUACCGGUCCCAUGGUGGGGAUUCAAGAGAGAGAAAUAGAGAGCAAGUUGGGUUAGGGCCGCCGUUGCCGGCGGCUCUGGCCUUCGAUGGCGGCGGUGGAAUUACCCCGUCGUUGCCGGUGGCCGGUCGUAUAUGGUGGCGGCAGAAGGUGAUGAUGAUGAGCAUCAGGUAAGAGCAAGUUGGGUUAGGUUCGCCGUUGCCGGCAGCUCUGGCCUUCUAUGGCGGCGGCGGAAUUACCCCGUCGUUGCCGAUGGCCGAUCGUAUAUGGUGGCGACGGAAGGUGAUGAUGAUGAGUUGGACCUCAUCUGAGCCUCGAUGGAUGCGAUGGUAUUGUUUUCGAACAACCGCCUUGGGUUUUAAGGCCACCAACCAUACCUGAUUCUGGAAUGCUUGAGUAUUUAUAUGUAAAAUCGAUGAUGAGGAUCUAAAUUUCAUCCGAAAUUAUCAAAAAAGGGUGGUGAUGAUGGGGUAAACCAUACCUGAACCCUAAUCGCUUAAGCUUUUACCUUUUUGUAUCCUUUACAUGUUUUCAGCAUGUACGGAUUGUUUGAAGCUAUGAUGGAUUUUCUGAGCUUCUUGGGGUUUAGGUCAUGGUGGUGACGGUAUGGCGACGGUGGUGGUUGUGAAAUAAUGUUGGUGUUGGGUGUACUGAUUUCGUGUUGUUGUUGAUGGUUGUUUUCUCUCUCUGUUGUUUGGGGUUUGAGAAAAACAAAAGUGUGGUGAUAUAUAGGUUUAAUUAUACAAUAUUACAAUAAAUAGAGGUUUUUUAAAGGGUGAAAAGAACGGUGGAAUGAUGGUGGUUAAGCGAUGGUAUGUGUGUUGAAGAUAGAGGUAGAAAAUGAGGUUUUUAAUUUUAAAAAUAAGAUGGUAAUUUAAGAUGAAAUUUAUGGGAAAUGAACAAAGUUAAUA